GAUGAAGAAUGCAGCGAAAUGCGAUAAGUAGUGUGAAUUGCAGAAUUCAGUGAAUCAUCGAAUCUUUGAACGCACAUUGCGCCCCUUGGUAUCCCGAGGGGCAUGCCUGUUCGAGCGUCAUUUCACCACUCAAGCCUGGCUUGGUGUUGGGCGACGUCCUCUUUGGGGACGCGCCUCGAAACGCUCGGCGGCGUGGCACCGGCUUUAAGCGUAGCAGAAUCUUUCGCUUUGGAAGUCGGGGCCCCGUCUACCGGAAGACCUGCUCGCAAGGUUGACCUCGGAUCAGGCAGGGAUACCCGCUGAACUUAAGCAUAUCAAUAAGCGGAGGA
RNAcentral lists this unclassified non-coding RNA (329 nucleotides) under soil metagenome. RNAcentral's name for it is "partial contains 5.8S ribosomal RNA, internal transcribed spacer 2, and large subunit ribosomal RNA". The stretch from base 1 to 120 matches the Rfam family "5.8S ribosomal RNA", at positions 35 to 154 of the family's 154-position model. The record is from RNAcentral.